Odocoileus virginianus texanus is the source of this 1101-nucleotide non-coding RNA. The record is from RefSeq and is a predicted model, not a curated record. Lineage: Eukaryota; Metazoa; Chordata; Mammalia; Artiodactyla; Cervidae.
GAGAAGGCUGUAGGUGGAAAUCUGGGUCUAAAAGUUCUGGGUAGGGAAGAGAGUUCUCAUUUAUUAGAUUGUUUUCUUUUCCUGAACUAUGGAGAGCCCUUUUCAGUUCACUGGGUGUUUGGAAUCUUUGCUCGGGCCUCAUCAGAGACUGAACUCAUCAGCCGAUGUUCCGCUCCAUGAUAUUUGAAACUCCCCUGUUUGAGAGUGCAAAGGAAAAGAUGCAAGAUGCAUUGAUUACCCUUUUGGUACCCCUUCUCAAAACCUCUUUUGGUCCAGUGUCAAGGAAGAAUUUCUCAUCAUCUACUCUUGUUGAAGUUUGUAAGUCUGUGAGAUGAAAAACUGAGAUCUAUUGUGGAAAUUAAAGAAUGCUGUUUUUAACCACUCAUAGGGAAAAUAAGGUGAAGAAAUGAGGCUGCAUGUAUGUUGGAAAGUUUCUCAAGGUAAGUGGACUGAAGCUCAGGUACAGUGAGCUCAGACUUUAUCAGUUAAUCCUCAUUACCUAUGUUGUCACCCUAGUAGGUGUCCAAUAAAUAUUUGUGAAGAAGGCAGCUGUAUACAUUAACACUUUCUUAAUUAAGCCAAAUACUUUUUAUAAUUUGACCUGUAAUUAUGCAAUGUUUGUGGGCAGCCACAGUGAACCAGUGCUUCUUAUCAUGCUUGGGGUCAAUUUCAAGGAUAAUCGAGGACAGAAGUUCACAAGAUCUAAUAAAUCCAAAUGCCUAACUUACAUGGGUUUAAGUACUUUUUUAUAGGAUACAGCAUUUCUUGUAAGUAUUGAUUAUAGCCGUAAAGUGGGAAGGCCAUAAACUAACCUAGAAGACCUCGUUUUACAUGUUCUGCCACUAACAAGCUGUAUAAAAUUGAGAUGCCUCUUUUCCUUACUAGGCUCUAAUGAUUUCUUUUAUAAAAUGACCAACUAGAUACAAUAUCCUCACAUGUCAUUUCCAAUUCUGAUCAUUCCUAUUCCUACAUAGCCAUGUAAGCAACAAACUGUUAAGUCAGAGAGGGAAGAACACAGGAGAUGCUCCAUAUUCCCAGCGGUCCAUGAGCUCCUGAGCUGAUAAAUACUCAAGGGACUUCCUGGAUGCAGCCUUAUAUUGC